This 504-nucleotide ribosomal RNA is filed under the name uncultured bacterium. RNAcentral describes it as "partial 16S ribosomal RNA". It matches the Rfam family "Bacterial small subunit ribosomal RNA", at positions 28 to 523 of the family's 1533-position model. The record is from RNAcentral.
GAUAAACGCUAGCGGCAGGCUUAACACAUGCAAGUCGAGGGGCAGCAUAGAUUGUAGCAAUACAAUUGGUGGCGACCGGCGCACGGGUGCGUAACGCGUAUGCAACCUACCCGUCACAGGGGGAUAAUCCGGAGAAAUCUGGUCUAAUACCCCAUAACAUAUGGAUCGGCAUCGGUUCAUGUUGAAAUUUUCGGAGGUGACGGAUGGGCAUGCGUAGGAUUAGCUUGUUGGUGAGGUAAUGGCUCACCAAGGCGACGAUGCUUAGGGGGACUGAGAGGUUUUCCCCCCACACUGGUACUGAGACACGGACCAGACUCCUACGGGAGGCAGCAGUGAGGAAUAUUGGUCAAUGGGCGCAAGCCUGAACCAGCCAUGCCGCGUGCAGGAUGACGGCUCUAUGAGUUGUAAACUGCUUUUGUACGAGGGUAAAGUGGGUUACGUGUAACCUUUUGAAAGUAUCGUACGAAUAAGGAUCGGCUAACUCCGUGCCAGCCGCCGCGGUAA